This 759-nucleotide ribosomal RNA is filed under the name uncultured Aggregatibacter sp. Its description in RNAcentral is "bacterial SSU rRNA". It matches the Rfam family "Bacterial small subunit ribosomal RNA", at positions 28 to 776 of the family's 1533-position model. Lineage: Bacteria; Pseudomonadati; Pseudomonadota; Gammaproteobacteria; Pasteurellales; Pasteurellaceae. The record is from RNAcentral.
AUUGAACGCUGGCGGCAGGCUUAACACAUGCAAGUCGAACGGUAACAGGAGAAAGCUUGCUUUCUUGCUGACGAGUGGCGGACGGGUGAGUAAUGCUUGGGAAUCUGGCUUAUGGAGGGGGAUAACGACGGGAAACUGUCGCUAAUACCGCGUAGAAUCGAGAGAUGAAAGUGCGGGACCGCAAGGCCGCAUGCCAUAGGAUGAGCCCAAGUGGGAUUAGGUAGUUGGUGGGGUAAAGGCCUACCAAGCCGACGAUCUCUAGCUGGUCUGAGAGGAUGACCAGCCACACCGGGACUGAGACACGGCCCGGACUCCUACGGGAGGCAGCAGUGGGGAAUAUUGCGCAAUGGGGGCAACCCUGACGCAGCCAUGCCGCGUGAAUGAAGAAGGCCUUCGGGUUGUAAAGUUCUUUCGGUAUUGAGGAAGGUUGUUGUGUUAAUAGCACGACAAAUUGACGUUAAAUACAGAAGAAGCACCGGCUAACUCCGUGCCAGCAGCCGCGGUAAUACGGAGGGUGCGAGCGUUAAUCGGAAUAACUGGGCGUAAAGGGCACGCAGGCGGACUUUUAAGUGAGGUGUGAAAUCCCCGGGCUUAACCUGGGAAUUGCAUUUCAGACUGGGAGUCUAGAGUACUUUAGGGAGGGGUAGAAUUCCACGUGUAGCGGUNAAAUGCGUAGAGAUGUGGAGGAAUACCGAANGCGAAGGCAGCCCCUUGGGAAUGUACUGACGCUCAUGUGCGAAAGCGUGGGGAGCAAACAGG